Molecule: small nuclear RNA, 115 nt
Organism: Solanum stenotomum
Lineage: Eukaryota; Viridiplantae; Streptophyta; Magnoliopsida; Solanales; Solanaceae
Product: U5 spliceosomal RNA
Exons: 1
Source: RefSeq, a predicted model, not a curated record
AGCCACACAGUGAGCACAGAGCGAACUAUUCUUUCGCCUUUUACUAAAGAAUACCGUGUGUGCGCUGUAAUUAGUGGCGUAUAUUUUUGGAGGGGUUUUCUCUUUUCUGAGUACC